RNAcentral lists this unclassified non-coding RNA (23 nucleotides) under Mus musculus (house mouse). Its description in RNAcentral is "oocyte_clustered_small_RNA13721". Lineage: Eukaryota; Metazoa; Chordata; Mammalia; Rodentia; Muridae. The record is from RNAcentral.
UUGUUCUAGGGCUGUAGGAGAUG